Molecule: long non-coding RNA, 1230 nt
Organism: Patella vulgata (common limpet)
Lineage: Eukaryota; Metazoa; Mollusca; Gastropoda; Patellidae
Exons: 6
Source: RefSeq, a predicted model, not a curated record
GCUUCAUUUAUACAAGACAGAUUUCUAUGUUGACCUGAUGAACAUGGACACCUUUAAAUAGCAACACAUACGAUCUAAAAGGACAAAUUGUGAUGUGGAACUGACAUGUCAUGUCAUUGAAUGAUAUACGACCACAGUUUCACUGUCAUGUGAGUCGGAGUCAAGUCUAGUGACGUUUAAAACUUAUAAAACCGACUGUUCAUAUAGACAAAAAUCUUCGGUGGUUAAUAUCAGAGACUGUGCAAUACAAUAAGUUGGUGUUUCAGAGUGCUGAUCAUCCACUGUAUCUGAAUAAUCUAUUUUAUCUUGGGAUUUAUAUCUGGAAUGUCGCCACCAACAUUUGAAGCUUAUAAGAAGCCUACAUAUGAUGUCAAUGUAAAGAUGCAAGAUCCAAUCAAAGAUUACCAAGAAAAACCAGAACCCAUGACCCCGGAAGAACCUGCAACUGAUACCGGGACGAAAUGUAGAAGAUUGCUAAAGAAACGCUGUGGAUGCUGCCGUGGCUGUAAAGCAUUUGUUGUUCUGUUAUGCGUUGUCGUUAUCACAGCCGGUGUUCUGGGGAUUGUGGCCAUUAGAAAACAUUUCCACUUGGCGCAUAAACAGAUUAUUAAACAUGAGGCUGUAGUAAAUGGUCGCCUGUAUCCUGAGGUUUAUGAAGUUGAUUAUGAUCAUUCUGUUAUUAAAGUGAGAAAUGCUUAUACUGGUCUGAUAGCACCUGCUGAUAUACUCUCCGAUUAUAGACAGAAAAUGAAAGUAUACAAAGAUACCGACAACAGAGUGUGUUAUAUCGAUGCUCUGAAAAAAAGUUUUGAAGAGAGUUUGUUCCAAAUUUCAGCUAAGAUAGCGAAUCCACCACCACCAGGAGAAGUGAUAACCAGUGUUAAUCCCAUAGAAGAUAAAGUGGUAAAGAAGUUUGCUGGUAAACGUAUAGCCAAACAUUGUAAAGGCAUGCCAGCUUAUUGGAUUGUAGACGUUGUACCAACGGAUGCUCCAGCACCUGCUACACCAUCGCCAUUACCUCCAUCUUUCCCCUCUACUCCUUCAGUCUAGGAACAAAGAUGAUUCACAAAAACACUCUGGGAAACUUACAGAAAGCCUCAUGUGGACCGGAAACACCCAUUCAUUCCCAGUGGAUUUUAUACUCAUGUGCAUGUGUUGUUUCAAAACAAAAAAUCAAAACCAUUGUGGCUCUAAUAAAUAUUUUUUGAAAAUAAAAGAAAUUUGAAUAUA